RNAcentral lists this ribosomal RNA (17 nucleotides) under Corynespora cassiicola. Its description in RNAcentral is "partial 18S ribosomal RNA". RNAcentral also lists the same sequence under 2 other names. Lineage: Eukaryota; Fungi; Ascomycota; Dothideomycetes; Pleosporales; Corynesporascaceae. The record is from RNAcentral.
UGAACCUGCGGAAGGAU